CAGAGCGCUCUGAUAUCUGCAGAGGCAGACAUCCUUCAUGCACAGCUGAAUGGGUGGUUGCAACAAAAUUAAGAUUGGAUAGGACAGGUGACCAAAAACUGGUCAAGAGACAUGCCUGAGAGACUACAAUUGUUUCAAAGCUGGAUAUGGACUGGGAUACAAGCAGAGGCAGCAGACAAAUGAUAAUCAAAGUGAACCAUUCAGCAUCCUGAUGAAGUUGAAAAUUAGGACUGUUUACAUAAGUCAGAACUUAUUUGCAUUUCCUGACAUUUCAGGUCUCUUUAUCCCUCGAUUGAGCAUUUCUUAUAUAACAGAUUAAUGUAUUGAAUAAAAAGAUAACAAAAAAGCAAAGCA
This is a non-coding RNA of Taeniopygia guttata (zebra finch), 354 nucleotides long. Lineage: Eukaryota; Metazoa; Chordata; Aves; Passeriformes; Estrildidae. The record is from RefSeq and is a predicted model, not a curated record.